CCAGACUCCUACGGGAGGCAGCAGUGAGGAAUAUUGGUCAAUGGGCGAGAGCCUGAACCAGCCAAGUCGCGUGAGGGAGUACUGCCCUAUGGGUUGUAAACCUCUUUUGUCGGGGAGCAAAAGCCGGACGUGUCCGGCUGUGAGAGUACCCGAAGAAAAAGCAUCGGCUAACUCCGUGCCAGCAGCCGCGGCAAUACGGAGGAUGCGAGCGUUAUCCGGAUUUAUUGGGUUUAAAGGGAGCGUAGAUGGGUUGUUACGUCAGUUGUGAAAGUUUGCGGCUCAACCGUAAAAUUGCAAUUGAUACUGGCAGUCUUGAGUACAGUUGAGGUAGGCGGAAUUCGUGGUGUAGCGGUGAAAUGCGUAGAUAUCAGGAGGAACACCGGUGGCGAAGGCGGCCUGCUGGACUGCGACUGACGUUGAGGCCCGAAAGCGUGGGGAGCAAACAGGAUUAGAUACCCCGGUAAC
This 465-nucleotide ribosomal RNA is filed under the name uncultured bacterium. RNAcentral's name for it is "bacterial SSU rRNA". It matches the Rfam family "Bacterial small subunit ribosomal RNA", at positions 331 to 794 of the family's 1533-position model. The record is from RNAcentral.